GGGAUAUGAUGAGUGGUUGAAUCUCGCAAUUAAUAAUGCGAGUUGGGUGUCUGCCCCAGCCUGGUUACGACAAUUGGGCGCUCAAUCUUUUUCCAAUCUGAUCCC
This is a non-coding RNA of Lupinus angustifolius (narrow-leaved blue lupine), 105 nucleotides long. Lineage: Eukaryota; Viridiplantae; Streptophyta; Magnoliopsida; Fabales; Fabaceae. The record is from Rfam.